UGCAGAUGGGAAUGAAUAUUUGCUGUCUUAACAGCAAUGCUGACACCCACCAAGAAUACUGAUGCA
Molecule: small nucleolar RNA, 66 nt
Organism: Salmo trutta (river trout)
Lineage: Eukaryota; Metazoa; Chordata; Actinopteri; Salmoniformes; Salmonidae
Gene: SNORD24
Rfam family: Small nucleolar RNA SNORD24
About the family: U24 is a member of the C/D class of snoRNA which contain the C (UGAUGA) and D (CUGA) box motifs. C/D box snoRNAs have been shown to act as methylation guides for a number of RNA targets.
Source: Ensembl